CUUCGGGUGACGACCGGCGCACGGGUGAGUAACACGUAGGAAUCUACCCUGGACUGUGGGAUAACUAGAGGAAACUCUUGCUAAUACCGCAUAUAGCCGAAAGGUGAAAGAUUUAUCGGUCUAGGAUGAGCCUGCGCAUGAUUAGCUUGUUGGUAAGGUAAAAGCUUACCAAGGCGACGAUCAUUAGCUGGUUUGAGAGGAUGACCAGCCACAAUGGAACUGAUACACGGUCCAUACUUC
Molecule: ribosomal RNA, 240 nt
Filed under: uncultured bacterium
Lineage: Bacteria
Description: partial 16S ribosomal RNA
Rfam family: Bacterial small subunit ribosomal RNA
Source: RNAcentral